UUUUAUUAAAGAAGUCCAAUAUGCAAUAGUGUCUUUUAACUUUCUCAAGCCUGAAACCAUUAUCUUUUAGCUUCGCUAAUAUUCUAUAAUCAAUUUAGGUCCAAUAGAUAUUAAGGGUUUUUGAUCCCAAAAAAAAGAUAUUUGGGAUCUUGAAUCCUCCGACUAUCGCCUCUGUAACAUCUUAAGAUCUUGGCUAGGAGAUACAUUUAUUCAAGCAUUAACGACAUCUCUACCAUUCCUCCCACUCUUCCUCAUUGGCCCUUAUCAUCCACCAAGGUAAACGUUCAAAGCACCGACUAUAAAUGUGUUCAAAGACGUAUUUAAGCACGUCGUCGGCACAUAGCCGUCGUUUUCUUAUCUCUCCCCGACUUAAUCUUUGUUCUCACCGACAAAAGAUCGGCAGAAUCUCCUCUCUGUUGUUACCGUAGCUCGAUCCCAGGAAUCCUAAAUAAUGGUUUUCGAGAAUCAUCGAAUUGAUCCUCUGUUCUUACAUGCUUCUUUUGCAGUGUGAUUCUGGUGUUGAUAAAUCUGCUUGCUUCUAAGGAUGAUUCCUACCUGGAUAGCUACGUCAGCACCAUUGGUGUUGACUUCAAAAUCCACACUAUCGAACAAGAUGGAAAAACUAUCGAACUCCAGAUUUGGGCCACAACAGGCCAAGAGCGUUUCAGAACGAUCACCAGCAUUUACUACAGAGGAGCUGAUUUGUGAUUCUGGUGUUGGCAAAUCAUGCUUGCUUCUAAGGUUUGCUGUAAGUUAUUGCAUAUCUCUCUCUUUCUCUCUACUGGGACACUAUUACAUGUUCACCUAGAUAUCCGCACUGAUGGACACUGCAACGAAAUCCCAUACGUAUUUACCCUAUUAAGCAACAACUCUAUCCUCUCGAUGCUCAACUUCAGAAAAUAAUCAACAGCUACAAACUGCCGCCAGACCCCCCACCCCUUCACUUUCGUGCUGAAACGUAACGACCAUUCUCAUUCAGGACCACACAUCGACUGAACACCUUUCAAAUUCUCUAAGAAGGAGCCAUGUAUGAGCUCAUUGUUUCGAUGUUACAAAGGAUUAAUCAAAACUUCAGACUCUCAGACUCACCAGUUUCUAUCGGAUUCACCGAUAAAACAUUUUUUAGAUUCAAAAACCAUCAACCCUAUUCCUACCGAGAUGUCCUGGUUCCGUACCUGUGACCAGCUGAUGUUACUGGGAUUGUUAGGUACUGUGUGCAGCUAUCAGUCUCAGAUGUCUUAGAGUCUACCGUGUUUGUCGCAUUCGAUGGUGAAAUGACGAAGCUGAUUAACGGCCAUGCUGCAGAGGUCAGGUCCCACAAAUUAUAGUUGUCACAAAGAAACAGAUGUGAUCCAAUUUUUUAUGAAUAUUCUCUAAAACCUUGCUCAUCAACUCCUGUUUGUUGAAGUAAUCAAAGCCUAGGUACAGCAGCCUGUUUAUUUCAUCGACGAUUGCUUCAUAAGAAAAAGGCCCGACAAAGACAAGACGACCAAAAGACCACUCAUUAACAUUGGUAGGACGCUACAUGAUAUUGAGGCAAAACAAAUGAAUGAUUAGAAGCAGAAGCACACAUGUAAAUCUACCAAACCUUGCAAGCAUCUUUUACAUGCGAUGAAAUAAAAGAUAAUAAUGUGGCCUUGGUUGUUUGAGUGUUUUUUUUGCUUUGGGUUUUUGUUUCAUCUAUAUAAUUAUUUUCUCAAACUUGAUUCACAAGGCCAGAGUAAAUUACUAUAAUGUUAUUCAAGAAAUAUUUAGAAAUAA
Molecule: long non-coding RNA, 1761 nt
Organism: Brassica oleracea var. oleracea
Lineage: Eukaryota; Viridiplantae; Streptophyta; Magnoliopsida; Brassicales; Brassicaceae
Exons: 8
Source: RefSeq, a predicted model, not a curated record